UAAGCUGAUGCAGCUGUGGUGAAAGCUGUUGAAAACUGGAGUUCAGCUGUUAUGGAUUUGAGAUAUUGCUAACCCUGCAUUUAUCCACAGGAAUAGUGAGGAGUCCCAUGGCAGCACCUGCAGCAAAUAGGGAAAAACCGAUGACUCAUUAGUUAUUGGCAUUGGAAAUGGCCAAACUUCAGGGAUGCCAGGCGCAUCUUCUGCUGCAGGCUGUAGCGUCCCCAGGCUGCCCCAGACGGCCCCAGGGAGUGUCCCAGACUCAAACUGCCACCGGGCACAGGGAGCAAGAGCCUGUGAGACUGUGGCUCCAGGUCAGGUCUGGGUUUGGGCUCGGGGCAGUGGCGUCCCGCCCCCCAGGUGGGGGCAGGGAAGGGUUGGUGGCCUCUGCUGCACCUUGGAAAGUCCCUGCUGCACUGUGACUGGCUUGCUCACGCGGCAGUCGCCGCGCCGCUUCACGCACCCUCAGGUAACAAAAAGUAUUUAGUUACUACUACCUUUUGUUACAACUCCUUCCCUGAUAGUCCUUCCUCCUCUAAACUUUAUUCCUCUUUCUGACUAGAGUUCCUGGGCUUUUAUCAACGUAUGCCCUAGCUGUUCUUGGUUUUACAGGGGUGCCUCCUUCCUUCAGCAAUUUACUUAACACUCUUUCAGUUUGGUUCCACCCAACUUCUGAUCCCAUAUUUCCAUAACAAAGACAAUACAACACACCAAGACAAAAUAAGACAAAAACACACUGUAUCAAUCUUCCCCAUUUUCUUGAAAUGGCCAUCCUUCCUCUCGCCCUAUCUGCUUCUAGGGACGAGCAGCUUUGCUCCUGUCCUAUCUAUUUCUAGGGACGGGCAGCUGUCCUUGUCACUUACCCCCAAGCAUCCUGGGGCUCCCCAUAUGGGCCACCAUCUGACGCAGUCUGGCUGGGCAAAUAACUGGGAGGUGACAAGCAAAUUGUAAAGAUUGAAACAGCAGGAGCCGUUUUAUUAUGAGACAGCAGAGGUAUAUAUACCCAACUAAUUACACACAGCUUAACUUAAUUAACAUCAUCUAGAUACAGCAGUCAGUCAUUAAGGAAUCCUCAUCAUCUAAAUGGCUCGCUGGCGUUACUUCAGAAAACACUCCUCCUGGCAAACUGCCAGGCGCCCUCUUGACAUGGUUGUGGCCCUCAACAUGAAUGGAUAAAGAAAAUAAGGUAUAUUAUAUCUGCACAAAGGAAUAUUACUCAGACAUAAAUAGGAAUGAAUUUAUGACAUAUGUCAGUAAAUGGAUAGAUAUGGAAACUAUCAUGCUAAGUAAAAUAAGCAGUUCCAAUAAACCAAAGGUCAAAUGUUCUGAUAUUUGGAUGCUAACACCUACAGGGGGGAAAGGAAAGGAAGAAUAAAACUUCAGAGGAUUAGACAAUGGGGAAUGAAGAAAAGGGAAGGGGAAAGGGAAUGGAAAAAUCAGUGGAAUGAAUUUGACUUAACUUUACUAUAAUCAUAUGUGAAUACAUCAAAAUGAAUCUCUAUAUCAUGUACAUCCACAAGCCUGGGAUCCUAAUUAGGAAAAGAUGCACUCUAUGUUUGUAUAAACAUGUCAAAAUAGACUCUGCUGUUAUGUAUAGCUAACUAAAAAGAACAAAUUACAAAAUCAGAUUAAAACCUUUCUCUUCUUGGUGACAGGGAUAGAACUGAGGGCACUGUGGAAAGGAUAAGUGUCACUCAUCCCACCAGGGUUCACAGACAAAAUCUCCUGAGGAGGAGGAAGCCCUGCUUGGCAAAGCAGUGUGAGGGAGGGAGGUGAUGUGGUUCAGCCUGUCACUGCUGGACCCUCCCCAUAGGCAUUUCUCAAUAAGGACACUUUUCUUGAAUGCACUCUCCAGGUAUUCUUUUGGUCUUUUAGAAACUAUGCCACUGCCCUGACACAACUGGACUAUGAACAUGGCUACAGAAUACACAAAUAAACUCCACUGUCUGUACCCUUUAAGGACUUUUAGUAUCCUUGUGCAUUAUAAUAAUGUAAAAAAUAAAAGUUUACAGAUGCCAGUCAGGGGUAGGAUUAAUAAUAGGCUCUUGAACAAAGAGAAAUGUGCUAUGUGACCUCUGGCUCUCUGACUGUAUAUCUAUAUGACAGAGCUAAACACUUGCUGGAAAUACACACACACAUAUGUAUGUAUGUGUGUGUGUGUAUAAUAUAUAUAUAUAUAUAUAUAUAUAUAUAUAUAUAUAUAUAUAUUCAAAGGAUAUAGACUUACAAAUAAGAAAUUAUAUUCUUCUUUUAAGGGAUUAUUCAUAUAAGCAUCAGCCCUUAAAGCUAAAUCAGUCUCUUUUGUGCAAAAUACAAUGAAUGGAAAUGGCAAUUAUUGUAUAAUCUAUAAAAUUUGGAAGAUGAUUUGAAAGUUCAUUUGUUGAAUAUUAAAAAGGCAAAUCAAACUGCUCUUUUCUGUUUUAAAUUUAUCAGAAAUUUCUUUUUCCAGGAAAUCAAAAUGAAUGUGAUUCUGUUCCUGUUGCCUCUGCUGAUUCUACCCCUGAAUUUCUCAGAAUGUGAGAAGCUCUGACCCUGAAAAUUGAAGAGAAAGGAAUUUCCUGGCAGAAAACCAGCCCUCGCUCAAAGUGCUUUUGCUCAGUACCACAAACCUCACUGGAAGCCCCCAGUUUUGUCUGUUAUAAUUCCAUUUACUAUUAAAAUUCUGCCUUGCAAACUUGGAA
Marmota monax (woodchuck) is the source of this 2678-nucleotide long non-coding RNA. RefSeq lists it as uncharacterized. Lineage: Eukaryota; Metazoa; Chordata; Mammalia; Rodentia; Sciuridae. The record is from RefSeq and is a predicted model, not a curated record. The transcript has 2 exons.